UUUUUUCAUGGCUUUUUCAUAAGUAGUUGCUAAAUGAAUAAAUUAAGGACUGCAAAAAAAAUUUAAAGAGCAAACAACUUGAUAAUCAUACUAGAAUGUUUGUAGUUCAGCAAAAGGCUAAAAAUGCCUAAACUAAUCCAGAUCAUCAUAUUAAGGACUAACUAGCUUCCAAUGGAAAAACCUAAGGAUUCAAUACAUAAUGGCCAUAAUUCUCUUCAACAAGGAGACCCAAAGAAGCACUUGCAGCCUCAAAAAAAGGUAAAAAGAAAUCAACGGUUGGAUAUCACAUAUACAACAUAUACAUGUUACAAAAUUCCAUCAUCAAUGUUCACCUAACAGGCAUUAUCAUUGGCUUGAGUAUAACCUUGAUUUCCCAUUUUUCUGCCAAAAUGC
Molecule: unclassified non-coding RNA, 393 nt
Filed under: Hevea brasiliensis (rubber tree)
Lineage: Eukaryota; Viridiplantae; Streptophyta; Magnoliopsida; Malpighiales; Euphorbiaceae
Source: RNAcentral